GACGUAGGGCGCGAGCGUUGUCCGGAUUUAUUGGGCGUAAAGAGCUCGUAGGCGGUUUGUCACGUCGGAUGUGAAAUCCCGGGGCUUAACCUCGGGUCUGCAUUCGAUACGGGCUGACUAGAGUUCGGUAGGGGAGACUGGAAUUCCUGGUGUAGCGGUGAAAUGCGCAGAUAUCAGGAGGAACACCGGUGGCGAAGGCGGGUCUCUGGGCCGAUACUGACGCUGAGGAGCGAAAGCGUGGGGAGCGAACAGG
RNAcentral lists this ribosomal RNA (253 nucleotides) under uncultured bacterium. RNAcentral's name for it is "partial 16S ribosomal RNA". It matches the Rfam family "Bacterial small subunit ribosomal RNA", at positions 524 to 776 of the family's 1533-position model. The record is from RNAcentral.